GAGCCAUUAGCUCAGUUGGUAGAGCAUCUGACUUUUAAUCAGAGGGUCAGAGGUUCGAAUCCGCCAUUCUCCACCA
Molecule: transfer RNA, 76 nt
Filed under: Staphylococcus aureus W70659
Lineage: Bacteria; Bacillati; Bacillota; Bacilli; Caryophanales; Staphylococcaceae
Description: tRNA-Lys
Rfam family: tRNA
About the family: Transfer RNA (tRNA) molecules are approximately 80 nucleotides in length. Their secondary structure includes four short double-helical elements and three loops (D, anti-codon, and T loops).
Source: RNAcentral